AUUGAACGCUGGCGGUAUGCUUAACACAUGCAAGUCGAACGAUGAGAAAGAGCUUGCUCUUUCGAUUAGUGGCGGACGGGUGCGUAACGCGUAGGAAUCUACCUAUUAGUGGGGGACAACUUAGGGAAACUUAAGCUAAUACCGCAUACGCCCUACGGGGGAAAGAAGGGGAUCGCAAGACCUUUUGCUAAUAGAUGAGCCUGCGUAGGAUUAGCUAGUUGGUGGGGUAAAAGCUCACCAAGGCGACGAUCCUUAACUGGUUUGAGAGAAUGAUCCGUCACACUGGAACUGAGACACGGUCCAGACUCCUACGGGAGGCAGCAGUGGGGAAUAUUGGACAAUGGACGCAAGUCUGAUCCAGCCAUUCCGCGUGCAGGAUGAAGGCCCUCGGGUUGUAAACUGCUUUUGUACGGAACGAAAAGGUCUCUCUUAAUACGGGGGACUCAUGACGGUACCGUAAGAAUAAGCACCGGCUAACUACGUGCCAGCCGCCGCCGUAA
RNAcentral lists this ribosomal RNA (500 nucleotides) under uncultured bacterium. RNAcentral's name for it is "partial 16S ribosomal RNA". It matches the Rfam family "Bacterial small subunit ribosomal RNA", at positions 30 to 523 of the family's 1533-position model. The record is from RNAcentral.